Molecule: long non-coding RNA, 1432 nt
Organism: Leptidea sinapis
Lineage: Eukaryota; Metazoa; Arthropoda; Insecta; Lepidoptera; Pieridae
Exons: 4
Source: RefSeq, a predicted model, not a curated record
AUAUAGUGACACGUUUCUAGAAUCGUUUAAAGAUAUUAUUUAUUUGAUAACAAAGAGAUAUACAAGACCUUACUACUUCUUCAAUUGGAUUUAUAGGAGAUCAAAAUUAAAAAGGGAUCUAGAUGUUUCAAUUAAAAAUAUCCACGACUUUUCAGAACGGAUGUUGCAGAUAAAGAGGGAUGAAAUUGCAAAUGCAUCUCAAGAAGAGAUCAAAUAUGCAGAUUCUGUUUUCAAGCCAUCCAGAUACCAUCUAUUGGAUAACGAAAAUAAAACUUUGAGUCUUGAAGACGUAAAGGACGAACUAAGCGUUAUACUAAUAACAGGUUUUGAGACCAGUGCCAACAUGAUUUUAUUCAUUUUGAUAUUAGUGGGGAGCAAUCCGCGUGUACAGAGAAAAAUUUUCGCUGAACUAGAAGAAGUUUUCGGAGAUUCCGAUAGAGACGUCACUAAAGCUGAUUUACAUUGAUGCAGUAUUAAAAGAAACAUCUCGUUACUGGCCUGUUGUUCCGCUCAUAGGCCGAGUUACUACGGAAGAUAUUCAACUCAGUGAGUAUCAUAAUGAUAAAAAGGUAUAAAAGGCACUGAUUUUCUCAAAAUUGAUUCCUUAAGAAUUCUUUUUGAUGUCAUUAAAUAUAAAGAUUUUGCACAAAUACGUAAGUCCCACUAAAAGUUUUGAGUAACUUUAAAAAAACAACAUGUUAUAACAAAAACAAUAUGUUUAUUGCUUUUCAAAAUAAUCUCCUUUACAUUUUAAACAUUUUUUCAUGCGAUCUAACCAUUUUUUAAAACAGGAGGACCACAGAUCUAAAGGCAUGUUUUCUACGUGCUGAUUGAACGCUAUCACUGCCUCUUCAGAAUUGGUAAAAGUGAAACCCCUUAUCAAAUCUUUGAUUCUGGGGAAUAUACGGAAAUCCCAGGGUGCUAGGUCGGGUCUAUGUGAAGGAUGUGUGACGAGUUGUACGAGCUGUACGAAGCUUAAAAUGACUUAGUUUUAGAUGUAGGAGAACGCGGCUUUUUGGUCGUCUUUCGCGAACUUUUUUUAACACCCUGGGUAAACAAAUAGUAGAAUACAACUCGGCAUUAACACUCUUUUUAUCUUCAAGUGGAAUUGUGCAGAUGGGACCCAUAGCUGAGAAAAAAAAUGCGAUCAUUUUUUACAAACGUUUCUCGCCUGCCUCACUUUUCUUGGCCUGUUCUCAUUUUCAAACACCCAUUCACAAUAUAUCGACGUUUCGUCUGCUGUGACAAUGGCACAUUCUCGCGAAGAGAGACUACUUUUAAAAUCAUAAAAAAACAUCGCUCUAAAAUCUUUUCGACUUAAUUAAAUUUGCGUUGCGUACGUAGAACUUUGACGUGUGAUAAAAACAAUUGACAAAUGAUUACCCGCCAAUUGUUUUUUUUUAUUACUAAGAAGGUUGCAACGUUUAAAAAA